GAGAGGCCCAAACGUUAUUCGGAUUUACUGGGCUUAAAGAGUCCGUAGGCGGCGCAGAAAGUGGGGUGUGAAAUCCCUCGGCUCAACCGAGGAAUUGCGCUCCAAACUCCUGUGCUUGAGGAACCUAGAGGUGAGCGGAACUGAUGGUGGAGCGGUGAAAUGCGUUGAUAUCAUCAGGAACACCGGAGGCGAAGGCGGCUCACUGGGGGUUUUCUGACGCUGAGGGACGAAAGCCAGGGGAGCGAACGGGAUUAGAUACCCCGGUAGUCCUGGCCGUAAACGAUGAGCACUAGGCCGGAGGGCUGCACAGCCUUUCGGCCGUAGCUAAAGUGUUAAGUGCUCCGCCUGGGGAGUAUGGUCGCAAGGCUG
Molecule: ribosomal RNA, 369 nt
Filed under: uncultured bacterium
Lineage: Bacteria
Description: bacterial SSU rRNA
Rfam family: Bacterial small subunit ribosomal RNA
Source: RNAcentral